ACUAAAGCCGCCGCCAUGUUUGUAGUCUGAGGUUGGGCGCUCCUCAAGCUCCAUUGGAUCGCCUCAACUCUUCAACCUGCUUUGGGAUCUCUGGCCGAGCGAUUCGGUAGGACCGUCCAGGUUAGUUCACCUAACAUGCGCUGGAGACGUCCCGUACGCAGAUGGUUGUUCUCCCGUAGAUCUUCAAAGAAGAUUGGAUGUGAUUGGAUGAAUUGUUAGAAAAAGAGCCAUCUGCAAUCUGCAACUGGACAAUGACAUGCGUUCAUGGCGCGCAAAGGAGCAAUCGAGGGUGCAUGACGAGAUUGAUAAGGAUGGAUCACGUUUUUCUUUCUUUUCUUGACGGGAAGGCCGAACUCAUCUGAAGGAAUUAUGAUUUGUGUUGUACAGAAUUCGCCUGUUAGCAUCUUCGAUCGAUCGUCCAAGCGGUCUGGUAACUUGAAACCUUUGGCUGAUACAGAUGAAUUGACUGGGAAGGUGCAGUGAUCUUGUGAGCGGAAGAGCGAAAAAUUCACAUGGAGAAGGGUCCAACGAGGGGAGCUGCGUGAUGCAGACUAACAAUCAACCGGUAAUUUUAUGAGGACAAGUACAAUUACGGUGGAAUUUUUUUUCAUCAGUAUUUAAUUGGGCGCAUGGACAAAUCAGUAUGCUGAUUCCCAUCUUCUCAUGCACUUUUUGUCCACUUCUUGAUUUUCUAACUGGCUCGAUGAUUCAAGCUGGCUCGAUCUGCUAUUGGGAGAUUCAUGGUUACUGACAUGCAGCGUUGUAUUCCCAGUCUGCUGAUAGGUACGCGGACGUUGUAGACACUGCAAUAAUUAAACAAGAGUGAUCAAUAUCGGCCCCGUGUGUACGCAUUGCGGCGACAUGCAUGACCACGACGGUUAUCGCCGGAAGAAUUGUUUCACAAUAUUGGCGCUUGAUUCUCUUCCAUAGUUAAAUUGGCCCUGCUAUAUACAAAACUGAACUGUUGCGCGACUUGGACGCGUCUCCUCUCCCGCUACAGUAGAGGCGACUUUCUGGAACCCCCGAGCAGAUCCACCCCCUCGCCGUCGAUUCGCCGGGUCCCCUGUCCUCCGCCGGCCGCUGCGCCGGCGGGAGGAUGGGGGAGCCUCGUCUCGUGUGUGUGUGUAGGGUAGGCUCUGCUGGGACCCUGGCCGCUGGCGUUUUGGAGUGGGCGGCGCGGCUGGUCUUCGUUUUGCAGGUGGUGCUCGUCCCCUCCAGCGGUGGAGUUCUUCGGAGCGCCAUGGCGGAGCGCCUCCUCGUCCGCGCUCGCGGGUCCCGGUGGACGAUGCGUGCGUUUAUCCCCCUCUGGAUCUCGACGCGGCGGAUCCAGUUGACAAUCCCGAAGCCCCUGAUGUUGGAUCAAGACGGCGUUACCGGCGGAGCAGAGUGGAGGCUCCCCGGAGUUCGAGGUCCGGUGACUACCCCGCCGCCUGGGGACAUCUUCCGAUCCAAGGCUUGUGCGAAGAUGCAGCGGCGGCCCGCCACCGGCACGUUCUUCUCCGCGUCGGCGAUGCUAUUUUGCAGAAAGGACCUGUGUGUAAUUUCUAGCUUUCAGGUGUUCUUUUCUGUAACUCUUGUUUCAAUAUAAUCAGUGGUUUCCUCGCAAAAAAAAAAAAUUUGGCCCUGUCUAUUUAGUCCCAAUCAAAGAGAUGUACAUAUCUGCUAUUUUUUUUCUUGAUCUUAAGCAAACCAAAUUUCUGGUG
Non-coding RNA from Lolium perenne, 1703 nucleotides. The record is from RefSeq and is a predicted model, not a curated record. NCBI's taxonomy places the organism in Eukaryota, Viridiplantae, Streptophyta, Magnoliopsida, Poales, Poaceae.